This 210-nucleotide ribosomal RNA is filed under the name Listeria monocytogenes. RNAcentral's name for it is "partial 23S ribosomal RNA". It matches the Rfam family "Bacterial large subunit ribosomal RNA", at positions 264 to 468 of the family's 2925-position model. The record is from RNAcentral. Lineage: Bacteria; Bacillati; Bacillota; Bacilli; Caryophanales; Listeriaceae.
AGAGCCCAAACCAAGAAGCUUGCUUCUUGGGGUUGUAGGACACUCUAUACGGAGUUACAAAAGAAAGUUAUAAAUGAAGCGGGCUGGAAAGGCCCGCCAAAGACGGUAACAGCCCGGUAGUUGAAAUAGCUUUCCCUCCAGAGUGGAUCCUGAGUACGGCGGAACACGUGAAAUUCCGUCGGAAUCCGGGAGGACCAUCUCCCAAGGCUA